GACGAACGCUGGCGGCGUGCUUAACACAUGCAAGUCGAACGGAAAGGCCCUGCUUUUGUGGGGUGCUCGAGUGGCGAACGGGUGAGUAACACGUGAGUAACCUGCCCUUGACUUUGGGAUAACUUCAGGAAACUGGGGCUAAUACCGGAUAGGAGCUCCUGCUGCAUGGUGGGGGUUGGAAAGUUUCGGCGGUUGGGGAUGGACUCGCGGCUUAUCAGCUUGUUGGUGGGGUAGUGGCUUACCAAGGCUUUGACGGGUAGCCGGCCUGAGAGGGUAACCGGCCACAUUGGGACUUGAGAUACGGCCCAGACUCCUACGGGAGGCAGCAGUGGGGAAUAUUGCACAAUGGGCGGAAGCCUGAUGCAGCAACGCCGCGUGCGGGAUGACGGCCUUCGGGUUGUAAACCGCUUUCGCCUGUGACGAAGCGUGAGUGACGGUAAUGGGUAAAGAAGCACCGGCUAACUACGUG
This 469-nucleotide ribosomal RNA is filed under the name uncultured bacterium. RNAcentral's name for it is "partial 16S ribosomal RNA". It matches the Rfam family "Bacterial small subunit ribosomal RNA", at positions 28 to 507 of the family's 1533-position model. The record is from RNAcentral.